This 497-nucleotide ribosomal RNA is filed under the name uncultured bacterium. RNAcentral describes it as "partial 16S ribosomal RNA". It matches the Rfam family "Bacterial small subunit ribosomal RNA", at positions 28 to 507 of the family's 1533-position model. The record is from RNAcentral.
GAUGAACGCUGGCGGUGUGCCUAAUACAUGCAAGUCGAGCGAACAGACGAGGAGCUUACUCCUCUGACGUUAGCGGCGGACGGGUGAGUAACACGUGGAUAACCUACCUAUAAGACUGGGAUAACUUCGGGAAACCGGAGCUAAUACCGGAUAACAUGUUGAACCGCAUGGUUCAACAGUGAAAGACGGUCUUGCUGUCACUUAUAGAUGGAUCCGCGUCGCAUUAGCUAGUUGGUAAGGUAACGGCUUACCAAGGCAACGAUGCGUAGCCGACCUGAGAGGGUGAUAGGCCACACUGGAACUGAGACACGGUCCAGACUCCUACGGGAGGCGGCAGUAGGGAAUCUUCCGCAAUGGGCGAAAGCCUGACGGAGCAACGCCGCGUGAGUGAAGAAGGUCUUCGGAUCGUAAAACUCUGUUAUUAGGGAAGAACAAAUGUGUAAGUAACUAUGCACGUCUUGACGGUACCUAAUCAGAAAGCCACGGCUAACUACGUG